Molecule: non-coding RNA, 168 nt
Organism: Vicia faba (fava bean)
Lineage: Eukaryota; Viridiplantae; Streptophyta; Magnoliopsida; Fabales; Fabaceae
Source: the annotation of a GenBank genome assembly
AUGCAUAGCAAAACUGAUUUAGUCAAUCACAUACAUUCAAGUAAGUUUAAACAUCCAUUUCAUAAACCUAAUCCCUCACAUAAAAAUGUUUUAAACAUCUUUAAGCUAACAAUUAUCCAUUUAUUGAUGUUCCUGACAAUCAGGGCCUGUCAGUAUUGCCUAUUCUAA